GGCCCCGUCGUCUAGUGGUCUAGGACACUUGGUUCUCAUCCAAGAGAUCAUGAGUUCAACUCUCAUCGGGGUCACAA
Molecule: transfer RNA, 77 nt
Filed under: Candidatus Woesebacteria bacterium GWC2_33_12
Lineage: Bacteria; Candidatus Woeseibacteriota
Also listed under: 3 other names
Description: tRNA-Glu
Rfam family: tRNA
About the family: Transfer RNA (tRNA) molecules are approximately 80 nucleotides in length. Their secondary structure includes four short double-helical elements and three loops (D, anti-codon, and T loops).
Source: RNAcentral